GGAUUUCUGUUAAUAAUUUAUAUAAAAUAUUUUGAUGAAUAUUUAUAUAAUAUUAACAUAAUUCAUAUUACUAUAUAUUUUAGUAUAUGAAAUUUUACUUUGAGAAAAUUAGAGUGCUUAAAGCAGGCAUAUGCCUUGAAUACUCCAGCAUGGAAUAAUAUUAAAGAUUUUUAUCUUUCUUAUUGGUUCUAAGAUAAUAAUAAUGAUUAAUAGGGACAGUUGGGGGCAUUUGUAUUUAACAGUCAGAGGUGAAAUUCUUAGAUUUGUUAAAGACAAACUAAUGCGAAAGCAUUUGCCAAGGAUGUUUUCAUUAAUCAAGAACGAAAGUUAGGGGAUCGAAGACGAUCAGAUACCGUCGUAUUCUUAACCAUAAACUAUGCCAACUAAAGAUUGGAGGUUGUUCCUUACUCCUU
Molecule: ribosomal RNA, 413 nt
Filed under: Cryptosporidium parvum
Lineage: Eukaryota; Apicomplexa; Conoidasida; Eucoccidiorida; Cryptosporidiidae
Description: SSU rRNA
Rfam family: Eukaryotic small subunit ribosomal RNA
Source: RNAcentral